UAACGAAGCAGGAAUCCCAAUUUUUUCGAGGUGACUAAGUGAUGGGUGUCGCGGCCCAUACAAAUUUAAUUGCAUAAUAAAAAUGCAGUAUAGCUAGGGAAUGACCCCUAGAUCGUCUCUCAAGGACCAAUUUACGGUUCAGAAAUCAAGUCAAACACGAAGGUUGGGAGGGGUUGUGAAAGGUUCGUGAAUAGAAAUUAACUAAAUUUAAACUGGAAAUUAAAUACAACCAGACAUAAUUGAAAACAUGAAAACAGUAAAUUGAACAAGGCAUGAAGACCGAACAGUCCCACCAACUAACCUAAGCUAACAUGACAGCUAAAUUACCACUACCA
RNAcentral lists this long non-coding RNA (335 nucleotides) under Vigna radiata. RNAcentral's name for it is "long non-coding RNA (VRAD_LNC016943)". The record is from RNAcentral. Lineage: Eukaryota; Viridiplantae; Streptophyta; Magnoliopsida; Fabales; Fabaceae.